This 1041-nucleotide long non-coding RNA is filed under the name Ananas comosus (pineapple). RNAcentral's name for it is "long non-coding RNA (ACOM_LNC002309)". Lineage: Eukaryota; Viridiplantae; Streptophyta; Magnoliopsida; Poales; Bromeliaceae. The record is from RNAcentral.
UUAAUAUGGGACGGUCAUUCUAACUUUAGGUUGCAUUUGAUUCGGGUAUAAAUAACAACUAUUUAUUUUAAAAAUAGAUACAAAUUCAGAUAUAAGCAACAACUAUACUAAUUUUACGUUUGGAUGAAAAUUAGGUUGUUCAUAAGAAUAAACUAAAUAGUAUUUGGAUGGUUAGAUUGAAACAAAGGAAAUAAGAGUUAUAAUUUUAAAUUAAAAUUAUUUUAUCUAAUUAAUUAAUAUCAAAAUAUAAUUUAAAAAUAAUUUAAUAAAUUUAUUAAAUUAAUAAAUUUAUUAGCUAUGAAUAUUGUCUAAAAUAAUAAAAAUAUAUUAAUUAAUUAAUUAAAUAUAAAAAUAAUUUAAUUUUUUAAUUAGUUAGUAAAUUAUUUUAGCCAAAAACUAGUAAAAGAGUUAAUUAGAUUAAUAUAAAUAUUAGUGCUUUAUCAAUAUAAGUAUUAGUUCAUGAAAAAAUGCAUUUAAAUUAUUAAUAAUUAAUUAUAAAUAAUAAAUUAAUUAAUUAUUUUAUGAUUUAAGCAAUAAAUAAUAAUUUAAAUAUUUAAUUAGAUUAUGGAAUAGACAUUUUGUAUGUACUGGAACCCCUCGAGAUUUUUAUAUAUAUAUGUUUUCAGUUUAGUAGGACUUUACCUUGUGGCUGUAGUUUGGCUUUAUUUACAGGUACAACUAUCGCUUCGUAUACAGAAAAAAUUUUUAUGUCUACCAUGGGUCUGUUGGCGUGUCCGGAAAAACGUGUAAUUCGGGACGUGACAGAUUAAAUUGGUAUCAAAGCUUAGAAUUAGGUCGUUGGGACUUAGAAACCAUAAACUUGGCAAACCUUAAGAAGGCAAGACGCGAGAGGUAUGAUUUUUUGCGAAAAUCAGCGAUUGAAUUGUUUUAACUCCUAGAGUAGAGUGAGUGACUGAAGGAGUGUCUGUUUCGGCCAAGAAAACUAUAUCGGCUGCAGACGGCAUAAUUUUGAGGAGAAAUAGGGGCGGCCUUCUAGACUUUCGUUUGAUUGGGUCGAGAGUUGAUUGUGUUUUGUAUCUG